GAAGCGUCAGCGGCCAUCUUCCCAGGACCGGCAGGUGCAAUCCAGCCCCGGCCGAGGCAGGUCGGAUGCACCCCUUAGUCUACAUUCCUCUCUUUUUAUCCCAAGGGUCUGGAAUGGCAGAGAACGCUUGGUGUGAUGCCAAAGGUACCAGAGCAUGAUGACUAUGAAAACACAUUGAUUCCAAAGAAAUAUGUGUACUUGGGAAAUAAGAAUGGAUCUGGAUGUGCAGGAAUAAGCUCUAAUCAGAAUAGCAUCCACAUGGGUGACUCCUUGAAAACCAUUAUCUCCCAAGGCAAGUAAAAUCCAUUAGAAGAUUGGAUAAUACGCAGAUAACAUCCCAUGUAUGGCAUCUGGACCCCAGAUUGGAAAUGGAACAACUCUGCUGACAGUGACAAAAUUUAACCUCAUUAUGAUUUUCCCAAACCUAUAGCACUUCCUACCUCGAGGUUACCUCUGAAAAAGCUCCAAGGUUUCUCUCUGUUCCCAAGACAUCUAAAGAGCAUAAUUUUAAACCCAUUAAAUAGAUCAUCCAUGCAGUGAAUUCAGCAAGCUGGCAGCAUAGGCGCUUUCCACUGUUAUCCCAUCAUAAAACAUUGAUUUUUGACUACCACUCAUGGACAAACGUACUUUUAUGGGAGUCUAGAAGUCCAGUGGCGAAGUUAUAACAUACUGUUGGAGCAAAAAAAAUACAAGGCAAUUGAAGAAGGUAGGAAUAGUUUUACUUCAUCUACAUCACCCCUCUCCUAGGACAGCUCAGUUAGUUCACUGAUAAGGGAAACCUCUCAGCCCCCAGUAUCUCCCAGAGAGAAAAAUGAGUACGCAGUGCAUAAGCACCUAGCCUCCCCAGAUGUGCAGGAGAUGCCCAAGGCACCCACUUCUUCCUCAUCCCACCAAGAGCACUAUAGAGAUGGGCUCAGCUGAGAAAUUGGGAGAGGCUGGGCAGACAGCAACCAGGACUCAGAACUCUCUGGGGGACUGCAGAAGUGUUGCAGACUCCAUCAAGAAGACAACUUAUGAGCUCUUCGGGACACCUCUGCUGUGGAGGCCCCAGCUACCCUAUGGGCAAACCCACUGCUCCAUGUGCUGCAUCCCUUCCUGCCUCGUGGCUGACUCCCAGAGCAAGCAUUUGUAGCUGAAUUAUGAACACAUGCAGAAAACCUGCCCAACCCUGCAGGACUGGGAGAAAACACAGAAGCUGGAGCAUUUCAGGGAACUGCCCUGGGGAACCCCAGUGGAAGGCUCUUGACACUUGACCUGGCUUUGCCGGGUUGAGAGGAGGCAUAUACUCUUAAGAAUUCCCCCUGCAAGAGGGAAUAAGAGAUGUGAAAAUGGGCAUAUCCAUAGAAAAGGCCUGAGAGAACUUCAGACUGGGCUGACAUGUAAAGGCAUUUUUUUCCUAAAGCCAGUCAGUAAGGACUAGAGGAAGUGACUGCUGCUUCCAGCGUGAAGACAGCAGCGCAGUGUCCAAGGAACACUAAAAAUCAAGGAAACGUGACGCUGCCAAGAAAACAGUAGUUUUCAGUAACCACCUUCAAAGAAAUGGAGAUCUAUGAAUUGCCUGACAAAGAUGUCAAAAUAAUUGUUUUAAGGAAGCUAAAGAGCUAUGAGAGAACAUAGACAUCUCAACAGGAUGGGGAAAACAAUACAUGAACAAAACGAGCAGUUCCACAAAAAGAUAGAAAUUAUAAAAUAAAAGACAAAUUAUGGAGC
Bubalus bubalis (water buffalo) is the source of this 1710-nucleotide long non-coding RNA. RefSeq lists it as uncharacterized. The transcript has 4 exons. The record is from RefSeq and is a predicted model, not a curated record. Lineage: Eukaryota; Metazoa; Chordata; Mammalia; Artiodactyla; Bovidae.